AUGUUGCAGCACUUCCUUCAAAGUACUGAAGAGCGUACGAUACUUCAUUCUUCCUUGAAACCAAAUUGCUCCCGAAGUGAUUCUCCAUGUUCUGAAUCCAUAGCUCUGCCUCCGGCUGGGUUUUCGGUCCAGAGAAUACCAGUCCAACUUCAUUCAUCAUCUACCGGGUCCAAGGGUUUUGGGAUGAGAUACGAGAGAAGAGUGGAGCGAUAUACACAUAAUACAAACAAUAGUUUUGUAAAUAGGUUUUAUUUGCGCCUGUCGGAAAAACAUCAAACAAAUGACAACUCACAAAUCAUCGUAUCUAACAUAAGUAUAUAUAACAGGGGUGGUCUUCUAAAGGUCAAAUCAAUAUUCAGAGUCUCUGAAUUUUCCAAGCCUUGA
This 384-nucleotide ribosomal RNA is filed under the name Triticum aestivum (bread wheat). Its description in RNAcentral is "partial small subunit ribosomal RNA". Lineage: Eukaryota; Viridiplantae; Streptophyta; Magnoliopsida; Poales; Poaceae. The record is from RNAcentral.